UCAGAGACGCACACGGCGCGGGCGACGGUCGCGGUCGAGAUCGCUGGCUACAGCCGUGUCAAGGGCCUCGGUAGAGGCGAAUGUCUCCAUUCUCCGGUAUUCUCCAUCGGCGGCUACGAAUGGUGCAUCGGCUACUACCCCGACGGCUACGACGAGGCGAACGAAGGUUACGUAUCUGUCUUCCUCGAGCUCUUGACCAAGAACGCCGAGGCGAGGGCGCUCCACAAGUGGAUGCUUGUGAAUCGGGUUAGUGGGCGGUCGAUUGUGGUGCACUCCAGCAAAGCGCCACGAGCUUUCGACCAUGAAUUUCCAGCUUGGGGCGUAGGGAAGUUCAUGAAGACGACCGCUGAAGUAGAGUCGGUGUACGUGCGGAACGAUUGUCUCGUGAUUGAGUGCGAACUCAGUGUUAUCAAGGAAACACUCGAUAUCCAUGUGCCACCCUCUGACCUUUUGGAUAAUCUUGCAACCUUGCUAGAGGGGAAGAUAGGAGCAGACGUGACUUUCAAGGUUCAAGGGGAGGUCUUUUCCGCUCAUAAAAAUUUGCUUGCGAUGCGAUCGGCGGUCUUCAACGCGGAGUUCUAUGGUCCGAUGGCGGACAAAGGUGUACAGGACAUAAUUAUUGAUGACAUGCAGCCUGCUGUUUUCAAGGCAUUUCUUCACUUCAUCUAUACUGAUUCGAUGCCUUCCACGGACGAUCUUGAGGAUGAUGACAAAAGAGAAAUGGUCAAGCACUUGCUCGUGGCUGCAGAUAAGUAUGCAAUGGAAAGGAUGAAGAGGAUAUGUGAAGGGAUGCUAUGCAAGAGUCUUGAUGUUGAGACUGUGGCGACAAUAUUAGCUCUAGCUGACCAGUACCAUUGCAGCAACCUCAAAGAUGCUUGCAUUGAAUUUAUGCUCUCUUCGAAUAGAAUGGAUGAUGUGAUCGCAAGCCAAGGCUAUGCACACCUCAAAAGAUCUUGUCCUGUUCUCAUUGUAGAUGUGUUUGAGAGAAUAGUCAGGUCCCGCAAAACUUAG
This 1011-nucleotide ribosomal RNA is filed under the name Triticum aestivum (bread wheat). RNAcentral's name for it is "partial small subunit ribosomal RNA". Lineage: Eukaryota; Viridiplantae; Streptophyta; Magnoliopsida; Poales; Poaceae. The record is from RNAcentral.